GUUUUAGUAGUUUAAAUAAAACACUGGUCUUGUAAACCAAUAUUAAGCUUUCUGCUUCUAAAACU
This 65-nucleotide transfer RNA is filed under the name Xiphidiopsis gurneyi. RNAcentral describes it as "tRNA-Thr". It matches the Rfam family "tRNA". Rfam says of the family: Transfer RNA (tRNA) molecules are approximately 80 nucleotides in length. The record is from RNAcentral. Lineage: Eukaryota; Metazoa; Arthropoda; Insecta; Orthoptera; Tettigoniidae.